Ochotona curzoniae (black-lipped pika) is the source of this 428-nucleotide long non-coding RNA. RefSeq lists it as uncharacterized. Lineage: Eukaryota; Metazoa; Chordata; Mammalia; Lagomorpha; Ochotonidae. The record is from RefSeq and is a predicted model, not a curated record. The transcript has 2 exons.
GACAGUCGCUCCGUGAGGUGACACUCUGUGAGGCGACAGUCGCUCCGUGAGGUGACAGUCGCUCCGUGAGGUGACAGACGCUCCGUGAGGCGACAGUCGCUCCGUGAGGUGACAGACACUCCGUGAGGUGACAGACACUCCGUGAGGUGACACUCCGUGAGGUGACAGACAUUCCAUGAGGUGACAGACAUUCCAUGAGGUGACAGACGCUCCGUGAGGUGACACUCUGUGAGGCGACAGUCGCUCCGUGAGGUGACAGACACUCCGUGAGGUGACAGUCGCUCCGUGAGGCGACAGUCGCGUGCAGGCUGUGAGGAGGUGGAGAAGGGGGCCUCCCCACGGGGUGCGGGCAUUGGGUCCCUGCCGGACGCCAGCCCCAGCCGUGUUCAGAGCUCGAGAAGGUGCGUAGAGUCGGCGUAGAGAGAAAA